This 652-nucleotide ribosomal RNA is filed under the name uncultured Scutellospora. RNAcentral describes it as "SSU rRNA". It matches the Rfam family "Eukaryotic small subunit ribosomal RNA", at positions 357 to 1016 of the family's 1831-position model. The record is from RNAcentral. Lineage: Eukaryota; Fungi; Glomeromycota; Glomeromycetes; Diversisporales; Gigasporaceae.
GGGUAACGGGGAAUUAGGGUUCGAUUCCGGAGAGGGAGCCUGAGAAACGGCUACCACAUCCAAGGAAGGCAGCAGGCGCGCAAAUUACCCAAUCCCGACACGGGGAGGUAGUGACAAUAAAUAACAAUACAGGGCUCUUUCGGGUCUUGUAAUUGGAAUGAGUACAAUUUAAAUCCCUUAACGAGGAACAAUUGGAGGGCAAGUCUGGUGCCAGCAGCCGCGGUAAUUCCAGCUCCAAUAGCGUAUAUUAAAGUUGUUGCAGUUAAAAAGCUCGUAGUUGAAUUUCGGAGUUCUAUCGUUGGUCGGGCUAUUGUCUGUACUGGCGUGUAGAAUUUCUACCUUCUGGGGAACUAUCAUGUUAUUAAUUUAGCGUGGUAGGAAACCAGGACCUUUACCUUGAAAAAAUUAGAGUGUUCAAAGCAGGCUUAUGUCUGAAUACAUUAGCAUGGAAUAAUAAAAUAGGACGGUGGUCCUGUUUUGUUGGUUUCUGAAUCACCGUAAUGAUUAAUAGGGAUAGUUGGGGGCAUUAGUAUUCAAUUGUCAGAGGUGAAAUUCUUGGAUUUAUUGAAGACUAACUACUGCGAAAGCAUUUGCCAAGGAUGUUUUCAUUAAUCAAGAACGAAAGUUAGGGGAUCGAAGACGAUCAGAUACC